This 300-nucleotide ribosomal RNA is filed under the name uncultured bacterium. RNAcentral describes it as "bacterial SSU rRNA". It matches the Rfam family "Bacterial small subunit ribosomal RNA", at positions 28 to 349 of the family's 1533-position model. The record is from RNAcentral.
GAUAAACGCUGGCGGCGUGCCUAACACAUGCAAGUCGAACGCCCUACGCUUGCGUAGGGAGUGGCGGACGGGUGAGGAACACGUGGGUCAUCUACCCAGAGGUGAGGAAUACCGGCGAGAAAUCGCCGACAAUACCGCAUACGUUCUGUAAAGAACAAAGUCGCAAGACGCCUUUGGAUGAGCCUGCGCCCGAUUAGUUAGUUGGUGGGGUAAAAGCCUACCAAGACUACAAUCGGUAGCUGGCUGAGAGGACGAUCAGCCACACUGGGAUUGAGAACGGCCCAGACUCCUACGGGGGGC